UACGGAGGGUGCAAGCGUUAUCCGGAUUCACUGGGUUUAAAGGGUGCGUAGGUGGGUAAGUAAGUCAGCGGUGAAAUCUCCGAGCUUAACUCGGAAACUGCCAUUGAUACUAUUUAUCUUGAAUAUUCUGGAGGUGAGCGGAAUAUGUCAUGUAGCGGUGAAAUGCUUAGAUAUGACAUAGAACACCAAUUGCGAAGGCAGCUCACUACGGAGUCAUUGACGCUGAGGCACGAAAGCGUGGGGAUCAAACAGGAUUAGAAACCCUCGUAGUCC
This 273-nucleotide ribosomal RNA is filed under the name uncultured prokaryote. RNAcentral describes it as "partial 16S ribosomal RNA". It matches the Rfam family "Bacterial small subunit ribosomal RNA", at positions 524 to 796 of the family's 1533-position model. The record is from RNAcentral.